AUGGUGAAUCACGGGAAGGAGAAGGCUCGAUUUUUGUUUCGAUCUGCUCUCCGGCGGCAGCGGCCUUUCCCGAGCUUGGCGAGCCGGAGCUGGCCCUUCCCGUCGUCAACCACCUCCUCGCCGGCUGGCCGUCGUAGACCACGAAGCCGGUCCCCGCCAGUUCCUUCACCUCGCCGCCAACCUCGUCCAUCUCGCUCCCCCGCGCACCUCCCUGGAGUCGGCAGAAGUUCUCCACUUUCCUCCGUCGGCAGCAGCAACCAUCCCCGCCUUCGCCGCCCAGCAACCAGCACUGCCCGCGACGACAGAGAAAAGUUGCAGUUGCAGCAGUACGGGCCUGGAGAUUUGGUGACUGUCUUGCUGUUCGGUGAUGCAGCAGAACACUUGCAGUUGCUUGGGUGGCCUGGCCCUUUCAGUUGCAACUUGCAAAGUUCUGUAUGUAUCCUUUGGGUUGUUGAUUCUGAACAUUUUGUGCAACUUGUAUGUAUCCCCUACUUCAUCACCAAUUCGUUUGACCACACCACUUGCUUGCUGAUCUUCACAGGCAUAUAA
RNAcentral lists this ribosomal RNA (549 nucleotides) under Triticum aestivum (bread wheat). RNAcentral describes it as "partial small subunit ribosomal RNA". The record is from RNAcentral. Lineage: Eukaryota; Viridiplantae; Streptophyta; Magnoliopsida; Poales; Poaceae.